AUAAUUAUAAAUUAACUGUUAACAAAACUUCGAAUUUUUGAAAUUCUAAGACUUUUCUACCUCAAGAUUAGAUUACCUUAGCUGUAUUUGGCAAAACUUUUAGGAAUUUUCGGGCCUCAAUGCUCUUCAACUUUAUUUGGCCUUUUAAACAUUUUUGAUUCGAGCGUCACUGAUGAGUCUUUUGUAGACGAAACGCGUAUCUAGCGUAAAAUUAAAAUUUGAAUCCAUGUAUCUAUGAUAAGUUUAUUGAAUGUAUAAAUUGUAUGAUUUAUUUUAUAAAACAUGUCAUGUUUUAUUCAAGUAAAUACAGCACCAC
RNAcentral lists this long non-coding RNA (316 nucleotides) under Mytilus galloprovincialis (Mediterranean mussel). The record is from RNAcentral. Lineage: Eukaryota; Metazoa; Mollusca; Bivalvia; Mytilida; Mytilidae.